UUUCUGUGUGGAUUAAUCCCACGCCGGAAUAAUUCUUGUUGCAUUUGACAUGGAUUUUCAUCGAAUGUUGCCACUAAUUUUGCACCUACGUAGUAUUUCAUUUAUCUCGGACUCUCCUUGCCUUUUAUAGUGAAAUCACCAAUUCUAUGGCAUUAAAACCAUUAGCGAAGCGCUGUUUUACUAACAGGGGCCUCUCCUCAAAUUUAGGCAAUCAUUGAAAGCAAACGCAUUUUUAAAGCAAACGACAAUGCUUCACUUCAAUGAUACUUAUUUGGCUCAUAUCGUUCUUCAACUUCAAUAGAGUCAUAAUAAAAAAAAGUUUUUCUUUUAGCUAAGUAUGCAGUAGUUACCACAAACUUUUCUUCUUUGCUCUGUAAAAAAUGCAUGGGAAUAUCCAUUAAGUAUCUCAUUAGAUGAAAAUAGGUCUUUACUUUUACUUAGGGAUGCAUAGUAAACUGGAAACUUUGAAGCCAUUUUUCUCGACCUUUAGGUUUUUUCAGCUAUGCCACCAUUGAAGUAAAUGAGCGGCAUCCGCUUGACGUAGCACAAACGUGACGCCCUUCUUCUCAAAUGGAAGUGAUGAUGAGUUGUUUCCUAAUGUCUGAGUUUACCGCGUAACGUUUCUUAACUUCAAUUUUUGGCACGCACUUAUGGUUGGUGUCAUCUAUUGCACUCAAUAUUUACAGAAUAAUCUAGCCGGCUUACCCUACGUAUACGUAAUCAAUGGCACGUGCAUUGCUCCGCGUCACGCAUACGCAGUGUACGCCGAAAUAAAGUUUCACAAGCAUAGCUUUUAUUGAAAUUUUCUGCUGCUUCAGCAACGAAAUUUUAUAACGUCAACGUGAAAAUGCAAAAAUUCGUAAAAUGUUGAAAUGUAAAUGAACUCAAAAGUUUAUUUAUAUACUCGAACAUUUGGUUCAGCGAAACAAAGAAUAAAAGAGAACAAAAACAUGCGACCGAGAGAAAAAGCGAGGGAGAGAGUGAGCGAGCGAGCGAGCGAGAGAAAACUCUGAAAAUAAGCUGCGGGAAAAGCGCCAAGUGCCAUACGAAAAAGCAUCAUGCCAAGUAGCUAUGCAUUGGCAACGCGCAAGAGAGGAGAGGCCAGCAAGUUAAUAGACAUUUUCCCAUACCUGUCAUGUCUUCUGUCUUCUCGAACGAAGAGUGGAACAUUAUUUGCGAAUGCUAAUGUAUUGCAGCUGUUCGAAGCCAGCACACAGAAGCUACUACAAGAAUUAUUUCUGUGAAAAAAUAAAAUAUUUUCAAAACAAAAAAGUCUGUGGUCUGUGAAUUGUUGAAAAUUUUAAAAAUUUUCCGCGAAGUGUGACUAAUUUUCGGUUGGUCUUGUUUGAGAAUUUGGUUGCGCUGAAAAAUUUGAUUAUUAGUUAACUUCGCAUAGGGUGUGUGAAUAUUUGUGAAUGUGCACCAGUUUUACAAGUUUCAGUUCUUGCUGAUAGUUCGUUUAAGGAAAACGUCAAACUCUGAUGAAUUUAGCAAGUUAAGGGAAAAAACGAUUGCCAAAAGCAGCAAAGUUCACAGAAGAUUGCAUAAAGUGUUUGCAAAAUUUACUCUGCAACGAUUUUUUAACAGCCAACAAAAGCAUAUUCUUGUUUAGGUGUGCGUUUUGCGUCUGCGUAUGUGUGUGUGCGCACGUAGGGCCAACUGAAAGAUGUGCUGCAAUGCGCUGCACUUAGUUUCCGGUGCUGCACUGUACCAGCAAAGGCAACAGCAAUAGCAGCUGCAGCAGCAGUAGCAGUAGUAGUGGCAGUGGCACAUAGCAAUUUCGUCGGCGCGUGCCAGAAAAUUCAGCAACAUAAAAAAAGACACCUCGGUGAAUAAACGCCGCAAAGCAAAGCAACGCAACGCAGCGGAAACCUAACACAAAAUCAAUAGUCGCAGUAACUACCAAGUGGCAGCAGUGUUAGUGGCAAAAUUACGUUCUGAGUUUGUGUUCUAACUGGCUUUUGACUGCAAGGCAGGAAAACUCGCGAAAAUUCUGAAGCGCUGCUGUGGUGGUAUUAGUGAAAUUUUUAUAAAAUUAAGAAAAUGUGAUAAGAAGCGAAAGAAAAGAGCGUUUAAAUGAAAAACCAAGUUCACAAAAAUGUGAAAUAAUUUAAAAUAUGGUUUCGGUUUAGAGGAAAUUGUGCAAAAGUUAAAAAUGAAAAUGGUUGAAAUUUUCAAGAAACCAAAAAUUAAAAAAUAAAUAAAAGAAAAACAGUGCGCGUGGUAUAACUUUCGGACUUGAAGGUGCAAAAAUAUUCAAAACAAAACUUCACUUUUCAACAGUACUUUGCUAAAACCGAUAAAUAAUUACUAGAUGCUUAACUUAGUACAGUAGAGUCCGGGUAGAGUGAACUAAACUUGUUCCCUCUUAAGAUUGUUGAUAGAACGCAAAUCAGGAAUUGGGAGUUUCUUUAACUUAAUCCACUCAAUUCAAAUAUUUGUAUAAUUUGAAAUUUGUUUCCCCCAAAAAGUGUUUUAUAUUUCUUCGUAUCUUUUUUGUUUAAGACACCUCUUUCCAGCAGUCGCUGUAGCCGAAUGGGUUGGUGGGUGACUACUAUAUUAUUUGUAAGUGUGUAGGUUCGAAUCUCCGCUCAUGAAACACCAAAUGGUAGAAGAAGCCAAAUAAGGGGUGCAGCCAAAUUUUAAUUUUUCUUCCACAAAAAAAGUAAAAAAUAAAAAAAGUUUAAAACGUUGAAUAAAAAAAUAAGAAACACACAUGAGAGGUGUUCUUCAAAAAAAAAAAAAAAAAAAAAAAAAUCUUGUAUUUGAAUAACUUUUUUACCAAUAUUUACUAAAUUAAAAAAAGUUAAAAAAAAAUUGUUGAAAAAAAUGUCAAAAAGAAAAUUACAACAUUUUUAAAACAAUUUGCACAAAAUCAAUCAUCAUUAAAAAAACUUUUAUUUGAAUAACUUUUUUACCAAUAUUUAAAAAAUUACAAAAAAGUUAAAAAAAUUGUUGCAAAAAAAUGUUGAAAAGAAAAUUAUAACAAUUUUAAAACAAUAUGCACAAAAUCAAUCAUCAUUAAAAAAAUCUUGUAUUUGAAUAACUUUUUUACCAAUAUUUAAAAAAUUAAAAAAAAGUUAAAAAAAAACUUUUUGGAAAAAAAUGUUGAAAGGAAAAUUAUAAAAAAUUUGAAACAUUUUGCGCAAAAUUAGUCAUCAUUAAUAAAUUUUGUAUUUGAAUAACUUUUUUACUAAAUAAAAAAAUUAUUUUGAUGAUGUAAUCUUUAUUUUGAUCUUUUCGCGCUCCAUUGCAUGUCUGUUUUCUCAGAAGUCUAUCUAUUUCACAAGUGUUAAUUAUGAUUGACGCACGACGCUAAAAUUAUAAAUCUUCCGAUCUCUCUCUCUCUCUUUUUGCCUUGUCCCUAUUUUGUUUUAUGUAUAUUUUAUUAAUUAUUUCUUUAAGAUUUUUCAAGUUUCGCCUUACUUAAAAAAUCUGGAUUAAAACUGGUAUCCAGGCCGCUUUAAGGCUUUUCUGAAACUCCGUGACUGAAUUAUCUUUAUGUAUAAACAUAAAUGUGUCAUUCGGUACCAUUUUGUAGUCUAAUGAUGAGUUCCCCUCUUUAAUUUCCGCUAUUAACCUUUCCAUUUUGCUGUCUUUAACGAGCUGUAUCCUUACUGCUGAUCACGGACCGUAUCAUAGCUGAGUCAAGAUGGUUCCUUCACACGUUGUACAAUACAGUUACUGUUAAAUUUUUCAUGAGAUCUUCUCCGUAUAAAUGUAUUGGUAUUGUCUUGAAAAAUUUGUGUGGAUGACUCAUGUGAGAGUGAAACCUACCAUACGAUUUUAAUAAAAAAAAUUAUUUUAAUUUUUAAUGGUUUCAGGCUUCAGCAUUUUGAAAGGACGACAGCAUUUCAAAUGAAACUCCGCAAGUCUGGUCGCAGCGUUACUUCCGGCUGCUUUACCACAUCAUCUUCUUAAGUUUUUAGAAUAAUCUGCCUAUGUUUUCGACGGUUUUCUUAGUUAUGUAGGUUAGGUUAGGUUAGGUUAGGUUAUGGUGGUGCAGGUCCGUUAUGGCACCACUGUGUAACAGAGGAACCUCAGUGUUUAUUCAUCAUGGAACCAUUUAGGCGCUCUUAUGAAGCGUAGGAUAGGUUUUAUCACAACACUGGAUAGUUCCGUAAGAGAGUCAAAAUAGUGUUUUCCUAAUAACCUUACAUUACUGUUAGCUAAAACUGGACAAUUACAACGGAAGUGUUGUACUGUUUCUUCUUCUUCCUCGUCUCUACAACUUCUGCAGUAUUCAUGAGAGCUAUUCGCUUUUGAGAGGUUGAGCAAUUCUCCUGACCUUUUUUUUUGCGACCAAAUGAGACUGGUUGUAACACAAGUAUAUUAUUUAUCUGAAAAAAAAAAUAUUUUGUGUUUUUGGUUUACUUAUUUUAUUCAGCUUUAAAUUGUUCUCCAGCUCUCAGUUGUUUUUAAAUAAUUGAAACACUGGCCUACUAUUUCACGCUGGGAAUAUUUACGGCAAUUUAACAUCGUAAAAAUCUCCGCUGGUUUCGUUUUUGUAAGGCCUGCCAACUUUCCGAUAUUUUUUGGGCUAAAAUUGUUUUCAAUCAAACAAAGUGUUAGUGUGAAAAACUCAAAGCAAAUAAAACAUAGGCAUAGAAGAGAAAAGUAAAAUUAUAAUCAAAAUAUAUUUUUACUUUUAAUAAUUUUGCAUUUCCAAAAAAAAAAAACAGUAUGUUUUUGCAGUCAAAUAAACUGUUCACACAAGCAAAGCAAAAUAAAUAAAAAGUAAGAAAAAUAAUAAAGCGAUAAAACAGCAAAAUGAUAGAAAAAGUUUUUUUAAUAGUGGUAGCCCCUUCGCGAGCAAUAGCAAACACCCGAGUGUAUUUCUGCCAUGAAAAAGCUUUAUGAGGAGUUUAGGAGGAGAAUAAAAAUAUAUCUGCCUUUCGGAUACGGCUUUAAACUGUGGGUCCCUCCAUUUGUGGAACAACAUAAAGACGCACGCCACAAAUGGGAGGAGCUCGGCCAAACACCUAACAGAAGUGCAAGCGCCAAUUAUUUAUUUAUUUUUUUAAUGCAAUAUUUUCAUUUAAAAAAAAAAUUUUAUUUAUUUAUUUGUUUAUAUAAAUAGUACAUAGUAAGACUAAGGUCUUUUAAUAGUACUUCAACAAUAUUAUAAGCAACUGGAAUAUUUUUAACAUACAAGUUUCUUAAUCUAAAUUUUACACCAGUUCAUUUACGAAUUAAUCCAAUAUAUUUAACUUAACUAUAAUAAUAAGAAGAAAAGAAGCAAUAGGAAAAGAAAAGAAGGAUUUAGAGAAGAAAGAACAAAAGUAGUAAUUAGAGAAUUUAGAGAGAAGUUUAAUGCCCUAAUUUAAUGCAAUCAAACACUUUUAAAGUAAUUAUAGACUUGUGCCUUGAAGUUAAAUCUAUUAAGUCCAGCCUUCACAGUGUCGGGUAAUGAGUUCCACACUUUAACAGCGUUAAUGAAAAAUAAUCUAGAUGAUGGUAGGUAAUUAAAUUUUGGAACGAUGAAAUUGUUGUGUCUGCGAGACCUUACUGGUAUCAACUUCUCUGUCAGAUAAGCCGGAGACUUGAAUAAUGCAAAGCAAAACUAAAAAAGUGAAACAAAAAAAUAUUAAAGGCGAUUAGCUGCUGAUUAAAGAUUUGUGUUAAGUUUUAAAACAAAUUACAAAAAAAUCAGAAAAUUGAAAAAUAAUAAAAAUAAAGUGAAAUUUGAUAUACUUCUAUUAAAAUAAAAUUUCAAGAGAGAAAAAUAAAGUGAAAAAAUUGCAAGCCAAUUUCACCUGUAAUUUUAAAAUGCUUACUAUUUAAUCUGCUAUUUAUUGCUGAAGCACAAAAAAGUUACUAAGUGUAUUCAAAAAAUUGUAAUCCGCGCGAAUUACUGCAAAGUAAUUAAAAAAAAAUAAAAAAGAGAAGGAGUGGGAAAUUUAAAUUUCCACGUUCAUUAAUUGUUCUUACUUUUGCCGUGCAGCUUAAUUAACUAACGCGGAUUGACGCGUGUCAAGUCGAGUGCAACGCUUUUCUCCCCCUCGCGCGCUCGGGUUGGUAAAAAAAAAACAAAAAUAAAAUACAAAGUAAAGAAGUAUUUUUACGCCGCCUGCUUAAAAUAAAAAGCAGCAACAGCAAAAC
This is a long non-coding RNA of Anastrepha ludens (Mexican fruit fly), 6102 nucleotides long. RefSeq lists it as uncharacterized. The record is from RefSeq and is a predicted model, not a curated record. The transcript is spliced from 2 exons. Lineage: Eukaryota; Metazoa; Arthropoda; Insecta; Diptera; Tephritidae.